UAUUAGAGAGUUUGAGCAAGACAACGAAGUCGGACGACGACGACGUGGUUGACAAUUUUUGCCUGUCUUGCACAUUACCUUGCACAUUCUGAGUUUAGGGUCAGGAGUGAAGACAGAUUAGAGAUUUAUGCCUAGCUGUUUGUGAAUGGUGACCCAAAUCCUUACCCUGAUCAGGAUAAAACAGCGAGACAUGAAUCCAUAUCCCGUCUUCGUCUUCUGCCUUCGUUCACAACGAAUACUUUCGCAAAUUUCGUUGUGAAACUCGUUCUGCACGAAGGCAGAAGGACAAAGACGGGAUAUAGUUUCAUGUCUCGCUGUUUUUUUUCUGGAUCAGGGCAAGACUUAUGGUCAGUAUUCAUAAACAGCGACACAUGGGAAGAUACGUUGUGCAACCACCAGUGACGUCCAACUCGGUAUGCGCAAGAUAAUGGACAUACGGCAAAAAUUGUCAAGUAUGCCUUCGUCUUCGUACUUCGUUGUCUUGCUCAAACUCUCUAAUUACU
Paramuricea clavata is the source of this 503-nucleotide non-coding RNA. NCBI's taxonomy places the organism in Eukaryota, Metazoa, Cnidaria, Anthozoa, Malacalcyonacea, Plexauridae. The record is from the annotation of a GenBank genome assembly.